This 58-nucleotide transfer RNA is filed under the name Fibrobacter sp. UWH6. Its description in RNAcentral is "tRNA_Val_GAC". It matches the Rfam family "tRNA", at positions 9 to 63 of the family's 71-position model. From Rfam's summary of the family: Transfer RNA (tRNA) molecules are approximately 80 nucleotides in length. Their secondary structure includes four short double-helical elements and three loops (D, anti-codon, and T loops). Lineage: Bacteria; Pseudomonadati; Fibrobacterota; Fibrobacteria; Fibrobacterales; Fibrobacteraceae. The record is from RNAcentral.
AGCUCAGUUGGUUAGAGCGCUACCUUGACAUGGUAGAGGUCACAGAUUCGAGUUCUGU